UGCAAUGGACCACAGUUUGAAAAGCAGUGUCCUCAAGGAUAUGCUCUGGCAACACAGACCCACAUCACUUCCUUGCUGUUAGGGGUCUUCAUGGUCCCGUGAAGAACGCAGGACAGGCAUCAUCAUCUCCGUUUUUCAAACAAGAAAAUGAGGCCAAGACAGCUAUUCCGUUUUGGCUAACGCAGAAGGGGAUGCGGGUGAGGAAGCUUCUAAGUCCGGCUCUCCAUUCGCCAGAGUAACCGCCUGUCCCGGAGGGCGCAGAGUGAACAGUACCUGGUCCAGGGAGUAAGAAGGAAGCCGAGGGUAUCAUCAACAAGCCUGACUUUCGGAUCCUGCAGGAAAAACCCAUAUAGUGAAGCGCUUGGGUUUUAAACGCAGGGCUUUCCAGACACAUUUGGGGAGUUCAACUCGAGCGCUUUGUGCUCAUGGACCAGCCGCGCAACUUUUGAAGGCUCGCCGGCCCAUGCGGGGUCUUUCUGGCGGCGCGCCGCCUGCAGUCCCUCUAAAGCGCCGGGGCUGGAGUUGCUGAG
Non-coding RNA from Odocoileus virginianus texanus, 530 nucleotides. The record is from RefSeq and is a predicted model, not a curated record. Lineage: Eukaryota; Metazoa; Chordata; Mammalia; Artiodactyla; Cervidae.